AGUGAACCCCAACAACUAUAGAUAUGGAAAUAAUAGUCAUGAAAGUCUCAACCUUUACAAUAUGUUUAAGAUUCUCUGUUGAUUGUCUUUGGAUAUAUAUGAAGGAAUCUAUAAAAUAUGAAAAUGAAUAUUAUAAAUUAAAAUAUAUUUAAUGAGUAUGAAUAUAAAUAUCUGAAGAACUAAACUGAGGUUCACAUCUAUGUGGCUGUGUUUAUCAGUAUUCAAAUAAAUCUGGAAACAAAAUGUCUAUGAUAUCAAUGCCUGAAGAACUAAACAGAUGUUCAUCUCUAUGUGGCUUAUCAAUAUUCAAAUAAAUCUGAAACCAAAAUGUUUAUGGUGAUGAUGAUUGAAAAAUUGAUGAUGGUUGAUGGUUUACAUUUAGUGUGAAACAAUCCAUUGUUUAUCAAUCUUCAAAUAAAUCUAAA
Molecule: long non-coding RNA, 425 nt
Organism: Aethina tumida (small hive beetle)
Lineage: Eukaryota; Metazoa; Arthropoda; Insecta; Coleoptera; Nitidulidae
Exons: 5
Source: RefSeq, a predicted model, not a curated record